UUUUGGUGACGACAUCCCGUUCGAGACAUCGUGUCUGGGCCGCGGACCCGCUGCGAUGGAGCUGAGAAUCUGAGCAG
Small nucleolar RNA from Euleptes europaea (tarantolino), 77 nucleotides. RefSeq annotates it as small nucleolar RNA SNORD66. The record is from RefSeq and is a predicted model, not a curated record. NCBI's taxonomy places the organism in Eukaryota, Metazoa, Chordata, Lepidosauria, Squamata, Sphaerodactylidae. The transcript has a single exon.